GGACUACUGGGGUUUCUAAUCCUGUUUGCUCCCCACGCUUUCGCACCUGAGCGUCAGUAUUGGUCCAGGAAGUCGCUUUCGCCACUGAUGUUCCUUCAGAUAUCUACGCAUUUCACCGCUACACCUGAAAUUCCACUUCCCUCUCCCAUACUCUAGCAAGACAGUUUCGAAUGCAGGUCCCAGGUUAAGCCCGGGGAUUUCACACUCGACUUGUCAAGCCGCCUACGCGCGCUUUACGCCCAGUAAUUCCGAUUAACGCUUGCACCCUCUGUAUUACCGCGGCUGCUGGCAC
RNAcentral lists this ribosomal RNA (292 nucleotides) under uncultured bacterium. RNAcentral describes it as "partial 16S ribosomal RNA". The record is from RNAcentral.